RNAcentral lists this ribosomal RNA (495 nucleotides) under uncultured bacterium. Its description in RNAcentral is "partial 16S ribosomal RNA". It matches the Rfam family "Bacterial small subunit ribosomal RNA", at positions 28 to 507 of the family's 1533-position model. The record is from RNAcentral.
GACGAACGCUGGCGGCGUGCCUAAUACAUGCAAGUAGAACGCUGAAGGAGGAGCUUGCUUCUCUGGAUGAGUUGCGAACGGGUGAGUAACGCGUAGGUAACCUGCCUGGUAGCGGGGGAUAACUAUUGGAAACGAUAGCUAAUACCGCAUAAUAGUAGAUGUUGCAUGACAUUUGCUUAAAAGGUGCAAUUGCAUCACUACCAGAUGGACCUGCGUUGUAUUAGCUAGUUGGUGGGGUAACGGCUCACCAAGGCGACGAUACAUAGCCGACCUGAGAGGGGGAUCGGCCACACUGGGAAUGAGACAAGGCCCAGACUCCUAAGGGAGGCAGCAGUAGGGAAUCUUCGGCAAUGGACGGAAGUCUGACCGAGCAACGCCGCGUGAGUGAAGAAGGUUUUCGGAUCGUAAAGCUCUGUUGUAAGAGAAGAACGAGAGUGAGAGUGGAAAGUUCACACUGUGACGGUAUCUUACCAGAAAGGGACGGCUAACUACGUG